This 427-nucleotide ribosomal RNA is filed under the name uncultured bacterium. Its description in RNAcentral is "bacterial SSU rRNA". It matches the Rfam family "Bacterial small subunit ribosomal RNA", at positions 355 to 774 of the family's 1533-position model. The record is from RNAcentral.
UAGGGAAUAUUGGACAAUGGGGGCAACCCUGAUCCAGCCAUGCCGCGUGAGUGAAGAAGGCCCUCGGGUUGUAAAGCUCUUUUGUCCGGAAAGAAAAGCAUUCGGUGAAUACCCGGAUGUUCUGACGGUACCGGAAGAAUAAGCACCGGCUAACUUCGUGCCAGCAGCCGCGGUAAUACGAAGGGUGCAAGCGUUACUCGGAAUUACUGGGCGUAAAGCGUGCGUAGGUGGUUGUUUAAGUCUGAUGUGAAAGCCCUGGGCUCAACCUGGGAAUGGCAUUGGAAACUGGGCAGCUAGAGUGAGGUAGAGGGUAGUGGAAUUCCCGGUGUAGCAGUGAAAUGCGUAGAGAUCGGGAGGAACAUCUGUGGCGAAGGCGACUGCCUGGACCAGCACUGACACUGAGGCACGAAAGCGUGGGGAGCAAACA